UGCAGUCGAACGGCAGCACGGGAGCAAUCCUGGUGGCGAGUGGCGAACGGGUGAGUAAUAUAUCGGAACGUGCCCAGUCGUGGGGGAUAACGCAGCGAAAGCUGUGCUAAUACCGCAUACGAUCUACGGAUGAAAGCGGGGGAUCGCAAGACCUCGCGCGAUUGGAGCGGCCGAUAUCAGAUUAGCUAGUUGGUGGGGUAAAAGCCCACCAAGGCGACGAUCUGUAGCUGGUCUGAGAGGACGACCAGCCACACUGGAACUGAGACACGGUCCAGACUCCUACGGGAGGCAGCAGUGGGGAAUUUUGGACAAUGGGCGCAAGCCUGAUCCAGCAAUGCCGCGUGCAGGAUGAAGGCCUUCGGGUUGUAAACUGCUUUUGUACGGAACGAAACGGCUCCUUCUAAUACAAGGGGCUAAUGACGGUACCGUAAGAAUAAGCACCGGCUAACUACGUGCCAGCAGCCGCGGUAAUACGUAGGGUGCGAGCGUUAAUCGGAAUUACUGGGCGUAAAGCGUGCGCAGGCGGUUAUAUAAGACAGAUGUGAAAUCCCCGGGCUCAACCUGGGACCUGCAUUUGUGACUGUAUAGCUAGAGUACGGUAGAGGGGGAUGGAAUUCCGCGUGUAGCAGUGAAAUGCGUAGAUAUGCGGAGGAACACCGAUGGCGAAGGCAAUCCCCUGGACCUGUACUGACGCUCAUGCACGAAAGCGUGGGGAGCAAACAGGAUUAGAUACCCUGGUAGUCCACGCCCUAAACGAUGUCAACUGGUUGUUGGGUCUUCACUGACUCAGUAACGAAGCUAACGCGUGA
RNAcentral lists this ribosomal RNA (809 nucleotides) under bacterium SCGC AAA018-E21. RNAcentral's name for it is "SSU rRNA". It matches the Rfam family "Bacterial small subunit ribosomal RNA", at positions 56 to 862 of the family's 1533-position model. The record is from RNAcentral.